GGGGGGGGGGGGGGGGGGGGCGGGGGGAUGCGGGGCGGGGGGGAGCUGCGGGGCUGGGGGCGCACGGGGGCGUAACGCGGGGGAACCUGCCCUGAGGUUCGGAAUAACUCCCCGAAAGGGGUGCUAAUACCGGAUAAUGUCUUCGGACCAAAGAUUUAUCGCCUUUGGAUGGGCCCGCGUUGGAUUAGCUAGUUGGUAGGGUAAAAGCCUACCAAGGCGACGAUCCAUAGCUGGUCUGAGAGGAUGAUCAGCCACACUGGGACUGAGACACGGCCCAGACUCCUACGGGAGGCAGCAGUGGGGAAUAUUGGACAAUGGGCGAAAGCCUGAUCCAGCAAUGCCGCGUGAGUGAUGAAGGCCUUAGGGUUGUAAAGCUCUUUUACCCGGGAUGAUAAUGACAGUACCGGGAGAAUAAGCUCCGGCUAACUCCGUG
This 433-nucleotide ribosomal RNA is filed under the name uncultured bacterium. RNAcentral describes it as "partial 16S ribosomal RNA". It matches the Rfam family "Bacterial small subunit ribosomal RNA", at positions 38 to 507 of the family's 1533-position model. The record is from RNAcentral.